This 8344-nucleotide long non-coding RNA is filed under the name Vigna radiata. RNAcentral describes it as "long non-coding RNA (VRAD_LNC007398)". Lineage: Eukaryota; Viridiplantae; Streptophyta; Magnoliopsida; Fabales; Fabaceae. The record is from RNAcentral.
AUUGCCACAGCCCCUGUCAAAGAAAAAUGUAAAUAGUGGCCAUACCAACUAUAACAUGAACAAAGUGUAUCAAUCAUAAGAAGCCCAACAUUCUAAAUUUCUACAUAAAAACCAGGUAAAAUAUACAUUUCAUGUCAACUUUAUACAUCAUAGCUGUUUCUUGGCCAUAUCAUUCAUUUAUUACAGCUUAGGCACUGAAAAAAAUAACAUACAGAACAAAAACAAAAACACCUGACAACAAGUACAAUUUCCCAACAAUAAAUGGAUUUGAAUGAAGACCUAAUGAAAGAACAUUCUCCAGUGCUGAAUAUAUUAUACAUAACAAAAUACCUAUUUAUAAGCAAUUUAUUUCAUAGCUGUUCAAAAGAAGAAAUAGGAACAAAAGUCCAGCAUCCGUUGGACAAGAAGAAAUGCAAUAGGAUAUCAAGCUUACAUUGCAAAAGUUCCAAUGCCUAGGCUUUAGGUCAGAGUAAAACUAUAGAACAUGUUAAAAAUCUCACAUCAACUGAAAAUAUAACCAAUUAUAGUAAAUAGAUGAGUACAAACCUCACUUUACAAAUCAGUUUUAUAAUAUUGAAUUAGACUUGAAUCUACUUUUUAACAUGAUCAUAGUCUAUCCAAGCAAAGCUUUUUAGACCUAAUGUUCAACUUGCUAUUGGACCACCCAUAAGUAUUUAUACUUAUGCUCGAGAUAUUCAAUCCUUGACAGUGAAUAAGUAUGUUCGAAAGCUCAGAUGCAGAAUCAGUCACAUGGAUCUUCAAUUCAUCCAAAAGAUUGCGUCUGAGUUGGGCCCAAAUGGAAUUUAGUUGACAGUAAAGAAAACACAAAAGUAGUUUCUUAUAACAUGGACCGUACACAGUCAUGACUGCAAGUUGAGGUCAUCAUCAAUCAUGGUUGGAUAGUGUAGGUCUAUGUUAUAAGAAACCAUAUUUGUGUUUCUUUUAGUGUCAACUAAACUCCAUGUUAUAAGAAACUACUUUUCAGUCAUGGUUGUGCAAAGUCCAUGUUACAAGAAACUACUUUUGUGUUUUCUUUUCUGUCAACUAAACUACAUUUGGAUCCAAGCUCACACACAGAACCCAAUUCAGUCAUGGUUGGGUACUGUAGGUCUGUUAUAAGAGUUUAUGUCUUUUAAUUUCAUGAACCUUUUUAUUUCAUAAAAUUAAAGGACAUCAACUUGUUUGUUCAUGUCCAUGUUUUCAUUGUGAACCUCAGAGUAAACGUUGUCUCCUUCCCACAACCAAUUUCGAGGACAAAAUUUCAUCCAUCUUUUAUCGGUUCUAGUAGAUUUUUUUGGUUGAUCCCGAGUACUUUGCAUUUAACUUGAUGGAAUUUUCCAUGAAGGACAACAUAUCUGAAACAAUUUUUACGAACAUGGUCGACAAAUUGUAAUGAUAAAUACAAAAAACUUCUUUUGGCCUAAUACAUGAUCAAUUUGACAUGUAUUAUUAUUGCCCCCUGACAUGGAAGCAGGCUAAAGUACUUCUUUAAAGCAUUUUUUGUCCAUCCAUCUUUAUACACAGUUCAAUGAAAAGUAUUUCAUCAUACGUAUCAUAAGGAUAUAUAUUGGUCUCCUUGAAUAUUAUGGAAAUGUCGAAGAUGAGCACAACCUUCAGUCCUGACUAGGUAUUGUAGGUCCCCUUUACUGUUAACUAAAUUCCAUUUCGAUCCAAACUCAAACGCAAAACAUUAGAAGAAUUAACGAUCCACAUGACCAAAGUUCUGGUGAUCCAAGUGGAUAGCUAGAAACUCGCCUUUGGCUUUUCUUGUGAAAAUAGUUGGAACGUUCUCCAUUAUGGUUCCUAUGUGAACUAUCUGUAGAUAAUGGAGGCUUUAAGUGAACAUGAUAUCUUUGAGUGGUUGUUAAUCCAAAUGAAAAGGAUGGACCUUUGAGUGUUUUUCUAUGGAAAUGAAAAGGAUGGACGUUUUCAAGACUAAUUGUUCUAAUGGAGAAAGAUGGCAGAUGCGUGGUUUGAAACAUGAAUAGUAGGAUCCAUGAUCAUUAAAUGAGAAACCCCGAUGUAUUCCAUUCUUGACAAAUCUCAGCCUCUAUUAUUUUAUAUUUUUUAAAUUGUUAUCUGAAUUAGAAUUUGAGACGUUCCAUUCUGUUCAAUUCAAAAAUGUCAUGAAGAUGUUCAACCUUUUCAUUUCCAUCAAAAACCACUUAAAGGUCAAUCCUUUUCAAUUGGAGUAACAACCACUAAAAGUUAUUCUGCCACUUAAACCCUCUAUUAUGUACAAGUUGUUCACAUAGGAACCACAUCUUCAAUGGUGAAUGUCCCAAAUAAUUUUACAAGGAAAACCAAAGGCUAGUUUAUGUUGGAUCUAUCGAGAAGGGGGGUUCACUUGAAAUAUACAACACCAAUAAGAUUUGAACCCAAACACAUAAAAGAUUGACACCAUUAUCCACCCAAAACCUUAAAACAAUGGAUUAAUAGGUCUUCACCUUUAUAUGUUAUUCUACUUUUUCAUUUUUAUCCAAUAUGGGACUUAGACUCACACUUAGAAUUUUAACAAUCUCCCCCUUCAAGAUUGAGUCCUUUCCACAUUGAUACACUCCCCCUCCAACGGAAGCAUUCGAAUACCUAUUCUGGUACAGCCAAUCUUAAUGGGACACGUUUACCUGAAACACUUUGCCAGGAAGACUUUCGAUACAGGGACCAUUGUACUCAUUUGAACCUAACCUGGCUCUGAUAUCACUUGCUAAGUCUAUCGAGGAAGAGGUUCAUUGAGAAGAUACAACAUCAAUGAGAUAUGAGCCCAACCACAUCCAAAACCUUAAGGCAAUGGGUUAAUGGUUUUUACCUUUAUAUGCUACUCUAUUUUCUCAUUUUUACCCAAUGGUCAAAUAGUAGUCUCCUUGAAGAUUAUAGAAAUGUCAAAGAUAAACUCAACCUUCAGCCAUGACUAGCCAUGACUAGGUACUGUAAGUCCAUGUUAUAAGAAACCACAUUUGUAUGUCCUUUUGUGUCAAUUAAAUUCCAUUUGGUCCAAGCUCAGAUUCAAAACUUAGGAUGAAUUGACGAUCCACACGACCAUAGUUCUAGCCAUCAUACUGGUGCAAUGUAAGUUGGGUGAACCCAUAAACCACAAGUCCUUGGAUUGAAACCAUACUCUGAUACCAUAUUAAGAAAUGGACAUUAAAUGUAACUCAACUCUUCAAAACCGCCUUGUAAGGUAAAGUUUGUACUCAUUUAGAUACUAUAAAUUAGUUUUACCUCUAGUCAAUGUAAGACUUCCAAUAAUUUUAUUUCUGCAUUUGGCGUACAAAAUCAUCACCUUAAUGAUGAAUGCUACAACUGGACUAGACCUAUUGAUACUCCAAAUGUCAAUCUUACUAUGAACAUGGUUAGUAAAUGUUACAAUAUCGGAGCUAAUUGUGUCUUAGAAGUAAAAUAUGCCAUAUCCAUGUAUUAUUAUGUUACUCAAGAAUCUUGUUCUAUAUUAUUUCUUCACUUUGACACCCAUAAUUUAAACAGCAUCUGCCAUCCUCUACAAACAUAUUUUCAGGCAAACUCUCAAUGCAAAACUUCUUUAUUUGGCAUAUAAAAUCAUCACACUACAAGAGUUCCCAUGUUCUCAUUUUAUUUAUUACAAGUUUGUGACCACUUGCCCACACAUUCAAUGAUAUUUUUGACCAAAUUUUCUAUAGACCAAGUUUGCUCUGAAGCCUGUGCACUUUUAUAAAUAGAAGAGCAGUACAAGACAACAGUAACUGUUCAUCCCUCUUCUGUUAACUUUCCAUGAAACAGAAGACAUAGUCAUCACUUCCAAAGCUCGUCAAUUGUUUAAAUGAUGAAAGAUCAUGACAGAAAACAAUCCACAAUCAUAACACCAGAAACAAUUUCUACCUAGGUUACAGCAUUUAAAAAUGUGAAUUUCAAAUUGAAUAAAAUAUAUAAAGCUCAAUAAUUGUAAACAAUAACUAAUAGGCCAUAAAAUACAUACUUGAGCUUUGCCACUGAGUUCUCCACCACAGCAUAAUUGAAUAAAAAGCCAAUAGAAGGGCAGUACCAGCCAUUAUUACAGCUAACCCAAUCAGAUCUCGACCCAAUAUCACAAUCAACCAGGAUCCCCAAAUUAUAAGCACCAAAAUUGGAGAAACAACCACAAUCCAUGCAAAAAGAUUCAGGAAACCGCAGAGCAAAUGGAGUUGAGGACCUUGCAAGAUAUUUGGCCAUUUCCGAGCAAAGAUCCAACUGCAAAUAGAAAGAAAUGAAUAACAAUAGAUGCAAAGAAGCUCGAUAUAGUGUCAAAAGGCAGCCAAGAGACCUAGUGCAACCUUAUGCGUUACGUUCAACAAUCCAACUGCUAUCAUUGUGGAUUCUUCAGACAUUGCAAUAUUAAUUAUUAUAAUUAUAGAAAGAAUGGAGCAGAAUAGGAUUUAUUAAAGAGUUGUUUUGAGUUGUACCUAUUUGUAGCCUAGGGUCCUAGAUAAGCCUUUACCUGUUUUCUACUCUUCUCUCUCUUUCAUUGCAUCUCAUACUAGCACAAGCUCCCUAAAAUAUAUUUUGCUUUCAUUUUAUUUCUCUCAAGUAUAAAAAUGCAUCGAUAACUAUCAACAUAAGCUAUGAAACUAAAAAAUAUCAAAACUCAUAAAAAGUAGACAGAUAAUUUUCUUUCACUAUACUAACUAAUUAUUGUCCUGAACAACAAUAAUAAGUUCAUAUUUAUUUCUUUCUACCCAAUAAUGCCACAAAUGAUAAGGAAUUCCUUUUCAUUAAUAUAAAAACAAUAUACAAGCAAGAAAGAAUUCGGGUGCAAUCAGCUUGAACAUAAUUUCACCCCUACUUUUAUGAGGCAUCCUUUUCUUCUUAGCUCCACAAAUGUCUUCUUCAAGGUGUGUUUAUCUUAAUUAGAGAAGUGCAACUUUCUGUAAUGAGUGUACCAUUACUACUGAAUAUGUUAAUGAGCUAUAGCUAGCUCGUUAGUAACUAACUUUAGUUACAACUGUCUACAAAUUUUGUUUCUAAUUCAUAGGAAUCCCGUGGUGCUAUGUGUGUGUGUGUGUAUAGUUGGAUCCUCAUCACUGCAAGUUUGAGUUAAGUUUUAGCACAAACCCUGAAACCUAGAUGCCUCUGAAUGCAUCAUCCAUCAACACCUUUCUCUGCUAAGGAAUCUUCUCCAGUGUUGUUGUUGGCAGUUAUAUUUUCAAACUAUUUCCAAAAAACAUGAAUAUAAGAAUUGGUUGAUUUCGUGCUGGUAAGUUGAACCAAUAAUCAAAGGCCACAUAACGUUCUAAUCAAUCCAUUACUUACACCAACAUUUCUCACACCUGAAGAGCCUAUAUCUAAUGGGAGUAAAAGAACAGUUGCUUCUUUCUAGGUUACAAUCUUGAUUACUCAAAAUAUGUUUCCUCCAAUUUUUCGAUCAAUGUUCUCAAUGGCAGAUGGCAAAACAUGGAGAAGGAAACAAAUUUCUGACACAUAAACACUAUUACAGCAUAUGGCACCACCAUAACAAACCUCCCUUCACAAAUUGCAUAUGGCAAUUGACAAAAGUUCCACACACAAUUCCACCAUGACAACAUUUAACAACAUUGAAUCAGAUGCAACAAAUCAUGGCAAUUAUGAGAUAAAAAUUCAACCAUAUUUCCACCUUCACCUGAACACAAAGGCCAAAUAAUUUUGUGCUGAACUUCAAAACACGAUGCUUUAAGAUCAAAUCAUUUUGAGUAUCUUCUAGGAAUCAACCCCUAUUUGUCACUCUCAUUGCAAUUUGUGAUACAAUUUAACCAAAGGAGUGACUCAAUGAAUUUAAAAGCCAACUGAAAAGUAUGAAUCUAUUGUUACCUUGGUUAGCAAUAGAAUUGAUCCAAGGCCAAUUUAAUAGUGAUACCAAGUCAUAUCGCUAGAGGUUUGUCUUGAAAAUUUUCAAAAGAAAACUACAAAUAUGGUAAGAGUGGUAAAAUCCCAUUUUCUUUCAGAAACAUCAUCACAAACCAGUAUUGCACAACACCUUGUCUCAAAUGAUCACAAGAGUCACUCUGGAGGCCUCAGAUUCCUUGGUGGUCAUAAACAUAAACUCUAUUCAAUACCAACUCUUUUUCACAUUUGGUCAUGAUGUUUCUAGUUGUCAUAAUGAUUUAAAUCAAAGGUUAGGUCAGAGUCAGACAUACAAUGAGAUUGCAUUACUUUCCCAAGGAUUUCUAAAAGCUUAAGUUAAUCGUUGAAAACUUAUGAUGGUUUCAUAUCUAAGUAUCUAACAUUUCCCCGCACAACAUCCAUUGGGCUUGACUUUGAAGCAUAUAAAAUUAUAUGCCUGUCUUGCCUAACACUAAAGUUAAACAUUUUAAAAAAAAAAAUGAAGGUGGAAGUAUGGACUAUUGUCAUGGAUGCUCUAGUAUCAUAUUAGAGAUCAAAUCCCACAGGUUAAAGCAACUUGGUAACCAGUUCAUUUUCUAGCUUCUUUUGCCAAAGCAAUAGCUGGUUAAGAAGGACUAAAACCCUCAUGAUUGGUACUCUAUCCCGGAUAAAUUACAAUUUUAUACAGAAAGAAAAAAAAAAUUGAGUAUCUAAUGUGAAUAUUCCUACGUAACCUAAUGGUAUUCAGAUCCCUAAAAAAGUGAAUAAAAGGGCAGCAUAAUGCAUGAGCUUGCAUCAUUAUGGGGUAUGAGGAAGGGCAGAUUUAAACACAACACAACCUUACUUCAACCAGCAGGAGAUAUUUCCUUGAUUACACCAUGACUACCACGAUGCAAUGCAGCCACCUUAUGGUUGUGCUAAGGCUUACCCUCCUAAAAAGAAGCAAAUAGUCCAAUAAAAUUUGGCAACUGAAACUAAAAAAUAUUAGAGUAUUCUAAAUGGAAGUCUUAUAAUGUAGGAUAAUGUCUAACCUAACUCCACAAAACCAACUUAUGAAAUGAGGGUGGUUUCCCACUUACAUACUAUUUUCAGAUUUUAACUUUAGCAAAAGUGGGACUAGGAAUUUUCCCAGUACAUCCCCUCGCACUCAGCAUUAUUGGUCUUGGUAUGUGCAUGAUAUGAUAGGUGACCCUUCUAAUGGAAUUAUGAUAGAUUCUAAAUUCAUCUUAGAAUAUGGAUUUAGGUAUAAUUCAACCUCACAAAACUAGCUUUUGAAAUAUCUCCCACUUUUAUGUAUAUACACACACAUAUAUAUAUACUUGGAAGAUAAACAGCACAGAUGGAGAAAGACCUCUAUAUAUGGAAUUAUAGAUCCCAUCUGGUAAACCUUCAAAAAUUCAAAAGCAAGAAUCGUUGUUUACCUUGGAGGAAGUAGCAGUUUGAGAGACAUAUUUGGAAAAUUAAUUUUCAUAACUCACAUGAGUCACCCAGCGAAAUGCACAUAUUUGUACAUCAACAGAUACAAUUUUUAAAUGACAUUAGUCUAAUAUUAAUACAAAUAACAUAUAUGGAAUAUAAAGAUAUGUUUAGUCUCAAAUUCAUGAUAUUUCAUUAAAAAUAUACCAUAAACCAUGUCAUUAUAACUUCAGAUUUCUAACCCUGUUACUUAAUAUUCCUUACUUAAGAUUCCAAUAGACAUACUAAAAUUAUAAACCUAACACAUGGGACUAUAGAUUUCAUGAGAAUUUCACAGUUCCAUUCAGGUAGUCCCUUUUUCUACAAAGGAAAAAUCAAUUAAUCACCUAUUUUAGCCCAAAUCAUCAAUAGAUGAAAAAGAUUAUUUUCUAAGUAUAUCACGAUGAACAUUUAAAGACUAGACAGAUCAUUUAAACUUGGCACCCAUCCCCCAAGUAAUACCUCUACCAUAAACACUAGCCUUACAACGUUGCCAACAUGCAUCUUCCCACGGAUGCCGACAAAAUUACUUAAAAGAAUUGCAAAGCAUUCAAUACAAGGAAGCAACAAGCUAGUAAGGCCCCGGUGAUUUCCCACUAAAAGAAUUCCAAACAGCUGGCUCUCACAAUUCAAAAUUGGCACCAAACUGCCACACUUAGCCUACCGCCAUCAAAUCCGAAAAAACACUGCGCCCCAUUAACCCACACUUAAUUCCCAAAGGUGGCUAAUAAGUUACCCAUUUCAGUGACAGUACACAGCAGUCAAUGCCAGUAGAUACAAAAUCAUCAAUCACUUAAAAAUAAGCACUAAUUCAAGUAACAGAAAGCAAGGCACGAGAAAUCAAAAAACAUUAACAGUGCAGCGAGACAAUUCAAUCUUAAAACAACAAAAAAACACAAAGCACCAAGUCAAACCAGGUAAACAGAAACAAUAAUCUGACGAAAUACCUAUAAAUUCGCCAGGGCCUCCAGUUCACAGCCCAAAGGAUGAAGAAGGAAGCCAACCCUAACACCGAGAAGAGGAUCCCGCAAAUCACGCACGCGAGGAGAAGCGCACGGUCCAUGCCUCUUCCUCCCCCUUCACA